CCUACGGGAGGCAGCAGUGAGGAAUCUUGGUCAAUGGAGGGAACUCUGAACCAGCCACGUCGCGUGAAGGAGGAAGGCCUUACGGGUCGUAAACUUCUUUUUCGGGGGAAUAAACGGGGUCACGCGUGGCCCCCUGCAUGUACCCCGCGAACAAGGAUCGGCUAACUCCGUGCCAGCAGCCGCGGUAAUACGGAGGAUCCGAGCGUUAUCCGGAUUUAUUGGGUUUAAAGGGUGCGCAGGCGGGUUGCUAAGUCGGUGGUGAAAUCCCGGGGCUCAACCCCUGGCUUGCCAUCGAAACUGGUUACCUUGAGUAUGGGUGAGGCAGGCGGAAUUCGUGGUGUAGCGGUGAAAUGCAUAGAUAUCACGAGGAACCCCGAUCGCGUAGGCAGCUUGCCAUUCCAUCACUGACGCUCAUGCACGAAGGCGUGGGGAUCAAACAGGAUUAGAUACCCGGGUAGUCC
Molecule: ribosomal RNA, 461 nt
Filed under: uncultured organism
Description: bacterial SSU rRNA
Rfam family: Bacterial small subunit ribosomal RNA
Source: RNAcentral